AUCUGUAUUCUAUAUUCCUGACCUUGGCUUUACCUGACUCUGUUUUUAUCUUUAAUAAUGUUAUGUCUGGCGCUUUCACAUAAAUGUGUAUCUUGUGUGUACUGGACCUUUUGUUAAUAAAGAUAAAAAUAGUCAGGUAAAGCUAAGGUCAGGAAUAUAGAAAUACAGAU
Non-coding RNA from Pelobates cultripes (western spadefoot toad), 170 nucleotides. NCBI's taxonomy places the organism in Eukaryota, Metazoa, Chordata, Amphibia, Anura, Pelobatidae. The record is from the annotation of a GenBank genome assembly.